This 274-nucleotide ribosomal RNA is filed under the name uncultured bacterium. RNAcentral's name for it is "partial 16S ribosomal RNA". It matches the Rfam family "Bacterial small subunit ribosomal RNA", at positions 523 to 796 of the family's 1533-position model. The record is from RNAcentral.
AUACGGAGGGUGCAAGCGUUGUUCGGAAUUAUUGGGCGUAAAGCGCGCGUAGGCGGCUUGGUAAGUCGGAUGUGAAAGCCCGGGGCUCAACCCCGGAAUUGCAUUCGAAACUGCCCGGCUAGAGUCUCGGAGAGGAGGGCGGAAUUCCCGGUGUAGAGGUGAAAUUCGUAGAUAUCGGGAGGAACACCAGUGGCGAAGGCGGCCCUCUGGACGAUGACUGACGCUGAGGUGCGAAAGCGUGGGGAGCAAACAGGAUUAGAUACCCCAGUAGUCC